GUGAGUCAUCGAAUCUUUGAACGCACAUUGCGCCCCGUGGUAUUCCGCGGGGCAUACCUGUUCGAGCGUCAUUAUGACCAAUCCCGCCUGCGGGGUCUUGGGCACCGCCUCUGGGCGGGCCUCAAAUUCAGUGGCGGCACGGCCAGGCUCUCAGCGUAGUACGUCUUCUCGCUCGAGAGCUCUGGGUGGCGCUGGCCAGCAACCCUCAAUCUUUCACCGGUUGACCUCGAAUCAGGUAGGGAUACCCGCUGAACUUAAGCAUAUCAAUAAGCGGAGGA
RNAcentral lists this unclassified non-coding RNA (278 nucleotides) under Filosporella sp. RNAcentral describes it as "partial contains 5.8S ribosomal RNA, internal transcribed spacer 2, and large subunit ribosomal RNA". The stretch from base 1 to 71 matches the Rfam family "5.8S ribosomal RNA", at positions 84 to 154 of the family's 154-position model. Lineage: Eukaryota; Fungi; Ascomycota; Leotiomycetes; Helotiales. The record is from RNAcentral.